RNAcentral lists this long non-coding RNA (1413 nucleotides) under Macaca fascicularis (crab-eating macaque). RNAcentral describes it as "lncRNA (ENSMFAG00000060910.1)". The record is from RNAcentral. Lineage: Eukaryota; Metazoa; Chordata; Mammalia; Primates; Cercopithecidae.
AUGUGCGUCUUAACAGUUGUCCUUUGGUACAAUUUUUCAACAAGUACCACCUGUUACUUUGGUGCUUAGAAUUAAAAUAGGUAUAAUUAUAACUGUUACUGCCCCAAAUCUGUGCCAGCCUCUGAGAUGAUCCUCACUGGACAGUCUUUGGCAAUUCUGUUCCAAGCCUGAGUUUCAGAGCUACAUUCAUAUUCCUACUUAUCUCAGGAGACAGAAUCAAAUUCUCCACCCAACUCUUACCAUAGUAAUUGUUUAUGUAACGUGUUUACUAAAGUGUAACACACAAACAGAAAAGUGCACAAAUCAUUAAAUGUAUAGUUCAAUGAAUUCUUACGAUGAAAAAACCAUCGUUAACUAAUACCCAGCUAGAGAAACAGAAUGGUAGUAGCACCCAGAAACUCCCUAAUACCCUUUAUUUCCUUCCAGUCACUACUUCUCAUCCACCCAAGGAUAACUUAUUAUCCUGGCUUCUAACAUCACAGAUUCGUUUUGCCUAUUUUUGAACUUUACAUAAAUGGGAUCAUUCAGCAUGCGCUCUUUUGUGUCUCACUUCGUCCACUCAACAUUGUAAGAUGUAUCAAUGUAGCUGUGUGUAGUUGUAGAUCAUUCAUGCCUCGUCCACCCUUUGUGUGUGCCUGCCUGGCAAACCAGACAAUUCUCCUAUGUGUCUACCAAUGAUUAUAUUCUUUUAUAGCAAAUGAAUUAAGCUGAUAGACAGAUACAUUUAUUAAUCUCAGUAAAUGCAGUAGCUGAUAAAAGAUGCAAAAGGCAUUCUAAGAGAUGGUUCUUUUCAUUAUUUAACAUUGGUAUUUCACUUUCAAGGUGAAAUGGAAGCUGGUGUUUUAACAGCUGUUUCAAAAUCAUCAUCUGUACAAAGAUGCCAAUAUAAAAAUUGUGAUACUAUUCUGCAGUUACAAAAGCCAAGCACAGAGAGGUUAAUAACUGCCUUCGUUCUACCAGCAAGGGUCCUCGGAUCCCUCAUAUUUCCAGUGAAUGAAUUCUAUUUAUACUCUUUUUUCCAAAGCGGGCAGGGAUCUAUGAGGAAGUGAAAGAGCAAAAUAAGAUUUACUUUUAUUUUCCCAAACAGAAAUUAAGAAAUUAACAGAAGAGGCCCAUCAUGGUGGCUCAUACCUGUAAUCCCAGCACUUUGGGAGGCCGAGGCGGGUGGAUCACAAAGUCAGGAUAUCAAGACCAUCCUGGCUAACACAGUGAAACUCCAUGUCUAUUAAAAAUACAAAAAAUUAGCCAGGUGUGGUGGUGGGCACCUGUAGUCCCAGCUAUUUGGGAGGCUGAGGCAGGAGAAUGGAGAAUGGCAUGAACCCGGGAGGCAGAGCUUGCAGUGAGCCGAGAUCACGCCACUGCACUCCAACCUGGGCAGUGAUACUCUAUCUCAAAAAAAAAAAAAAAAAAAAA